Long non-coding RNA from Mus musculus (house mouse), 5582 nucleotides. RefSeq annotates it as predicted gene, 38834. Lineage: Eukaryota; Metazoa; Chordata; Mammalia; Rodentia; Muridae. The transcript is spliced from 2 exons. The record is from RefSeq and is a predicted model, not a curated record.
GCCGGCCCGGCUCUGUCCUCCAUGCUUGCGUAGACCUCGGGUUCCUGAUUCUGGCCCCGGCGGUGUCCGGGCUCUUCCGGGCGGGCCCUCGGAAGGGGCGAGGGAGCCACCGGUCCAAACGCCAGUGGCAGACCUCGGGGGUGGAGGGGGCUUUGUCCGAUGGGGUCGUGGAUCGGCCGAUGCACUUCGCAGGGCGCCCUGCAGACACGGCAACAAUAUCCUAGUUCCCUCGGUGACGGGAUUCUGCACUUGGAGUUGACCGUUCUGUUGAAGUGGUAGGGCCAACGGAAAGGUGGUUUCUGCACCCAGAGUCAACGUGGCCCCGUAGGAGCUUGGAAGCUGACCAAUGAUGUGUCGCUCUUUACGAGACUCCAAUGAACACCUCAGUUUCUGAGAACCAAUCUCCCAGGGUUGCUAUCCUGCAAUGCUGACUCUUGAAAAGUAGUGCUGCGUUCAAAGUCUCUGUGUUAGGUACGAUAGGAAACAGCUUGGGAACCGGUCAUGUCGUUUUUGAAGUCUGGCCAAUCAUUCGUAUGUGUAUAAUAGUCUUUUUUUAAAAAGUGAUUUCUCGAUGGAUGUGGUGGCCCACACAUUUAAUUCCUGCAUUUGGGAGGCAGAGGCAGGUAUGCGGGUCUUUGUGAGUUCGAGGCCAGCCUGGUCUACAAAAUGAGUCCCAAGAGAGCCACAGCUGUUACACAGAGAAACCCUGUCUUGAAAACAAAACGAAAUGAAACAAACAAAAGCCUACUAAACAAACAAACAAACAAACAUCUCUCAAGUAAUAGCUUGGUUUGUGAAGCAGAGCAUUGUCCUGCCUAUCACUAACAGGAGAAAUGAUUGCCGAUUAAAACUGUGAUGAGUGAUUGGUUGUCAGGUUUAUCCAGAUCUAGGAGAUGUUAAGAAGUAAUGAGUGGUUUGGUUUCAUUGUGUAGAAUAAGUGAGUCAGUUUACUGCUCAGAAAUAGACACUCAUGUAACACUCUUUUCUUUGUGACAUCUUGUUUCCUCUCGCAUCAGAUAGUAGGUGAGACUUAGUUUCUUUCUUGGGUAUCCUAAAAGUGUUCAAGGAUAAGUGUGCACCCAGUAGCUGUACCUCAUUGCCAGGUCAUUUGAGGACAGAGGUCCGACUUGGUAACUUUGCCAAAUGUGAAAGAGUUGAGUGUAUUUGGGAACGUUUUCUGGAGCACCUUCUUGACUGAUUAAAAGGAUACCUCAAUGUGCUCCAAAUAGAAGGGAAGGAAGGCAUUAGUUGUGCCAGUAAGUGCUGUGGCUGGUAGAGUUUGAACACUUGUGUGUUGGGUAUGGCCUAAGCCAGCUUAUUUGGAAUCGUUUGUGGGUUAAGAUGUGGAACACCAGAUGUGCACAUUAGCUAGUUUUCUGGAACACUCACCUAUGCACCAAUGUCUCUCUCUGCUGAGGUCUUUCUGGUCCAAGACCCAGCCUCCAUCCAGAAGGUCUGCUGUGUUAAUAGAGGUGUUUCCAGAAGAGGAAUGUCUAGGUGAUUUGGUUCCUUAAAUUCAUCCUUAGCAACCCUCACCCCACAGAACUGAACGUCUUUCAUCCUAGACUGCAAGACUGAAGGCCUAGAAGAGAUUUAGCUUUCUGUUGCUGGAGGCAUGCUGUUAAAACUCUGAGGGAUCUAAGAUCUAAACUAGGAUAUUUUUGUAUUAGUAGUAUUAGUAUUAAGGUUACAAGUGACUAAUGUUUAAAAACCUCUUAGUUGGCAGACCUUGGAAUUCUCUCACACCUGCAAUAUUUCCAAGCCACUGCAGUGGCCAUGUUGUCUCACAAGUUAGUGCUGCUACUGUUUUCUCCUCCUUCUCUUCCUCCUCUUCUUUCUCCUCUUCCUCCUCCUCUUCCUCCUCUUCCUCCUCCUUCUCUUCUUCCUCUUCAUCUUCCUCCUCUUUCUUUUCCUCUUAUUCUUCCUCCUCCUCUUCCUCUUCUCCUUUUUCUUGUUACAAAUUAUUUAGGCUUUUAGGUUAAAAUAAGAUGAUAGGAAUCCCACCUCCACCCUGUUCUUAAAUUUUAGCUGAUGGCACAUAAUGUGUUGAGGUCCCAAGUUUUGCAGUGUUGAUUUGAGUUAAAAGAGAUAAAAAGACAAACAGCCCUAGGUGCUACAGGGCUCUAUUGAAGGGCAACUAAGAGACUGCUAAGCUGCCCUCGACCCCUCACACACAUUUAAUGGCUUAGGAGAGCAAGGGACAAUCUUGUUGAUGUGGGGAGGAUAUGGAAAUGAGGAUGAUUUUGACGAGAAUAUGUAAGAACUUUACAAGCAUCACUGAGAUUAAAAUGAAGUUUGAAAAGAAACCUAAAGUUUGCUAGAGUCUUUAAAACUAUCAACCAGGAGGUACUAUAAAUCACAUCUUUCUGAAUAAUUAAUAAGAGCAGGUAUUAUUUUGAUCUUAGAAUUAGGAUAUUUUGAUGUCAGAAAGUUGAUCUUACAAUCCAGUUAGUUCUGCUGUUUGGUUUGGCAAAUGAGGAAACAAAGCCAGAAAAUUUCCCAGGUGGUGUCCACGGAGUCCCGGAAACCAGGUCUGCUGGUGCGUGCAGUGUCUUUUCACGUGCGCGCCUUGGGAAGCUUGGACUUCCAUAUGAGGAGCAGGACCUUUGGACUCUCAGGGAUCCGUGGAGGAAGCGUCUCCCCUGCUCGGAGCUGCUGCUUGCCUCUCUCCCGCCCUUGCCAAGUUCCACAGGCUUAUUUGCAGACUCAGGGAAGCUCUUGGAAGUGUGUGGAAAAGGACACUCCACAGUGAUCGUUCCCUUUCUAGUCUCUGUUGCUGUUUGCAUCUAGGAACUCAACCUUUAUCUCAGAAAUGGAAGCCUGAAUCCAAAUGCGUUGCUGGAGCCCUGAGAAAGUGACUUGAUUUUUCUGGCCUCAAAGUUGCUUCAUAGAAACACUGAAGUUUAAAAUGAUUAGUGUAGGAAUAAUUUAGAGUUUGCCACAGGACAGGUAUUUUGUUGUGUUUGACCAAUUUAUUAAGUUUUUACUUAAUAAUAUUUCUAAAAUCUGAAUAUCUUCUCCUUGGUGAUACAUUAUAAAACAUUGUACACAUAAUUUUUACACUUAGUGCUUAAAAAACAAGAGUGCUUUACAUUUUACAAAACAUGGUGCUUGUGAUCAAUUGAGCCAAUAGUAUUGAAUGCAUCAUUAGUAUAAGUGAAUAUAUAGUUUUAUGUUUGAAUAGCUGAUUGGUAUUUAGGGUAAGGAGCUGCUGAGAUACUCCCAUGUAUUGUAGGUCUACUAUGUAACAGUUCCUUUUACAAUUAAAAUAUUCCACCUUGUAGGACGAAGCUCCUUAAGCAGGAAAGUAAACAUCUCUGAGUAGUUUCAGGAAGUCCCUAAAACUGAUCAGAUUUACUCUUAGAGUAGGCCAUAAAAGCUGAGCCUUCCCCUCAGACGGAAGGGAGCCAAGCUGCAAAGAAGACUCUCAUACCUGGCAGAAGCAGAAACAAGCCAAGCUGCUUGGAAGUAAUUUAGACCAACUGAGGCACCAGCAGAGGCCAUUCUCCAGCCUGUUAAGCUGCUGCAGGUUGUGCAAAGUGUUCCAGGUUCCCAGCUUUGUGAGAUGUCAUCCAUGCUGGGUGGCCUGUGGUUCUGCAGCUGUCUCCAGUCAGUAACCCCUCACCCAUAUUCCUGUAAGUAACCCCAGUAAAACUCAGUGGUUCACCAAGUUGGACUUUGUUAGUGUUUGUACUUUGGUCUGUCCUGGACUCCCUAUGUGUGUUGCAUCUCCCCAGGAAAAGUUUUGUCACACAACAAGGUCUCUUCAUUUGGGGACCACAAUAGCCUUUGUUUUGCAUAUGUAUAAUUCAUGGUUAAUGCUAUAUUAGAGCAGGUUUGAGUGUUCCCCAAGAGUUCCCAUGCUAGGAGGGAACUCUGAGUUCCCAGUGAGGUGGUGAACUGUGAGAUCCCUGUGCCUAGAAGAGGUUACUGGUAGCCUGCCCAACUUACCCCUCCUGAGGUGAGUUACCAAGCAUGGCUGCCCCAUGAACUUGACCAGCGCCUUGGCAUCCUGUUCGCUUGUUGGUUUUCUGCCAUGUUAUAGACAGGCAGAGGGGUCCUCACCACAGGCUGGACAGAUAAGGCUGCCCUAAAGUGUGAGUUGAACAAACUGGUUUUCUUUUAAAUUAGUUACUUUGUUAAAAGUCAGUUACUUUGUGAAGUUGGCUGCAGGUGGGCCAGUAGGGUGGUGAGUUUACAUUUGUGAAUUCAUGAACACAUGCACACCAGUAAAAGAGGAACAGGAACACAGUUCUCAGGGUUGAGUGAGAAGUGUUUUCAUGACUUGAGUCAGGCUAACAGUCUCACCUGGGAGGUGCUCUUUGGCUCUGUAUUUCCGCAUUAACAGCACAGCCAUCUUAGAAGUGGUAUAGUUGUUACCUAGAGGAGAUAGGACUGCCUGACAAACCUGUGUGCUCUGUGGAAAACAUCUUUCUCAGUACCUAGGCCCUUUCCUUGAGCAUCUUAUGUCCGUUUGUCCUUCUAUGGUUCUGUGAUUCCUUGGUAACAUGGUUGUGUUACAGACCAGGAGGCUUCUGUGGGUACUCUUGUCAGGUACUCACUCAUGAGCCUGUCAUAGAGGCCACUGAUUUCCCACAGUUGUUUGCUCUGCUCAGUCUGCAGCAGUGAUAACGAUAGUAAGGUAGUAAUUGGUGAUAUCCCACAUACCGUAUCCUCUCACAUCAGCCAGCGAGGUGCAUAAUAUUAUCUGUAUUCUCACAGUGAGAUUAUCUCAGACAAAUAUUCCUGUGUGAAAAGAUUCCCAAUUUAUUUGUGAUUGCUGCACAGUAUGUGUCUGCAGAGGUUAGACUAUUUGUGUAUAGAAGGUGUGUGAGGACAGACCAAUGAGAUGGCUCAGUGGGGAAAAACACUUCCCACGCAAGUCAGAUGGCCUGAAUCCCAGCCACAAAACACACAUAAAGGUGUGAGGAGAGAACCGACUCUACAAACUGAUCUCUGACCUCCCAUGCUGGCGAUGAACCAACCUACCUGCCUUCUUUCCUCCCUCUCUCCCUCCCUUCAUUCUUUCCUUCCUGUCUCUCUUUCUUUCUUUCUUUCUGCACAUGGAAAGCGUAUCUGGCUGGACUUACUUGAUUUUAACGUGUGAACUUUAUACUUUCUCUUUGAGGGCAAUGGUUUUCAACCUUCCUAUUGCUGUGACCCUUUAACAUAGUUCCUCAUGUCGUGGUGACCCCCAACCAUAAAAUUAUUUUCAUUACUACUUCAUAACUGUAUUUUGCUACUUUUAUGAAUUGUAAUGUAAAUAUUUGUGAUUACCAGUGGUCUUAGGCUGCCCUUGUAAAGGGGUCACUUGCCCCUUCCUCCCCCCAAAAGAGGUUGUGACUCACAGGUUGAGAACCACUGUUUUAGGGGGAGAUUUUCCUUUGUGCUAAUGAAGGAUUUCAGGAAUAUAGCAGGCGCUUUGAUGCCAAUGCCACACCUUUCCUGUGAGCAGCUGUUAACCUGUUUACAGAUGGGAAGACUAAGGCUCAGGAGAUCAAAUAUGAGGCCUUGAUUGCAGUGUUGGAGACCAGCAGGACGUAAACACCAGCACAGACCUGUCUGGUUUCUGAGAGUGAUCU